RNAcentral lists this ribosomal RNA (507 nucleotides) under uncultured bacterium. Its description in RNAcentral is "bacterial SSU rRNA". It matches the Rfam family "Bacterial small subunit ribosomal RNA", at positions 29 to 508 of the family's 1533-position model. The record is from RNAcentral.
AACGAACGCUGGCGGCGUGGAUAAGACAUGCAAGUCGAGCGCUGAUUGCAGGGUAGCAAUAUUCUGCAGUCGGAGCGGCGCAAGGGUGCGUAACACGUGGGUAAUCUGCCAUGAAGUUUGGGAUAACUUGCUGAAAGGCGAGCUAAUACCGGAUGUGAAAAUUGGGAGGCCUCUUCCGAUUUUUAAAGUUGGGGACCGUAAGGCCUGACGCUUCAUGAUGAGCCCGCGGCCUAUCAGCUAGUUGGUGAGGUAAUGGCUCACCAAGGCUAAGACGGGUAGCUGGUCUGAGAGGACGACCAGCCACACUGGAACUGAGACACGGUCCAGACACCUACGGGUGGCAGCAGUCGAGAAUUUUUCACAAUGGGCGCAAGCCUGAUGGAGCGACGCCGCGUGGGGGAUGAAUGGCUUCGGCCCGUAAACCCCUGUCAUUUGCGAUCAAACCUCGUUAUUUAAAAGAUGACGAGCUGAUAGUAGCGAAAGAGGAAGGGACGGCUAACUCUGUGC